GGGCUUCCGGCGGAAGCGCUGGAAGCAAGAUGGCGGCCGCCGAGAGGGUUCACAAAGGGUAGGGUGGUGUGGAGCAAGGCAGGGUCCUCGCAGGCAGUGCCAAGAUUGAGCUGGGGGUGGGCAGAGUGGGCGGGGUGCGGACCCAUGGCCCUACGCAUCCUGGGCCAGGUCUCUUGUGGUGCUUCACGCUCUCGACCUGUGAGUGGUGCCUGCUAGAGCUGCCCAGAUCCCUUUUCCCUACCCCUUCUGACCCUGGACCCAGAGUGGUGGUUGCGAUCUGCUACCGUGACGUCAGCCCUCAUUCGUUCGUUCCACAAACUCCACAGCUCUGGUCCAUUAGAGGAAGGAGGUCCCAGAAUAGCUGGGAAAUUACGAGAACAGCCUCACUGCACGAGUUGGUGAAUGCUGUGAUGGCGAUUGUAUGAUGGACGGUGAUGUUGAAACCAGACUGGGGAAUGACCGCCCCAUCCGGAGAGAAAAGCACCAAGGAUUCUCUUUUGUUGAAUUUGAGUUGGCAGAGGAUGUUGCAGCAGCUGUCAACAACAUGUUUGGUCAGAUGAAGACUGGGUGGAGAAGUUUGCUGGGAAGAGGAUAAAGAGGAAGGUGGUUGAGACUUCCCAAAGCAGAAAGCCAGGAGGGAGAGCCCACUGCUAAAAAAGGCCUAGUCAAAUCCUCAGGUGUACAUGGACAUCAAGAUUGGGAACAAGCCGGCUGGCUGCAUCCAAACCCUCCUGCGUUCCGACGUCGUGCCCAUGACCACAGAGAAUUUUCUCUACAUGUGCACCCAUUUAAAGGACUCGGCUUCAAGGGAAGCAGCUUCCACCGCAUUAUCCCCCAGUUCAUUUGCCAGGGCAGUGAUUUCACAAACCACGGUGGCACCAGGGGUCUGCGCAGGCAUGGCACUAAGUGUCCCAUGGCACAUUUGGCCCUCAUGGAGGCCUCAAAAGGGCAGGACCAGCACCCUCUUCUACGGAGGAAGGAACGGGCACAGCAGAAACAAGGAGAGUCAGCAAUUACCAGCCAGCCAAGGUCCUGGAAGCUGACGUAGAGCUCGUGCCGACGGCAGACCUGCCGGCCGUGGGAGCCGCGGACGUCAUCUGCAGGGACAGAAGGGGCAAGGUCUUUUCUGGGGUUCCUGCUGUGUGCAGCUACUAUGGGGUACCAGGGUGGGGGAUGCCCUGAUGAGCACAUUUGUCAAAUAAAUGAAUGACAGGAAACCA
Molecule: long non-coding RNA, 1220 nt
Organism: Homo sapiens (human)
Lineage: Eukaryota; Metazoa; Chordata; Mammalia; Primates; Hominidae
Gene: PPIEL
Product: peptidylprolyl isomerase E like (pseudogene)
Source: Ensembl